Molecule: unclassified non-coding RNA, 198 nt
Filed under: uncultured fungus
Lineage: Eukaryota; Fungi
Description: sequence contains ITS1
Source: RNAcentral
UCGUAUCAAACCGGGUGCGUCCGAGGCGCCCUGCACCGGCGGAGACGCCGUGCUGCGGGCCCCCGGCGCGCCUUCCACGCCAAACCCCUGUGCACCUUUGGGAAGGCGGAGCGGCAACGCGACGUCGGCCCCUCAAUCUCACAAGCUCUUUUGAUACUUGUAGAAUGCGUGCGGACGUCGUCCGUCUAAAACAAAUAA